GUUUCUUUUGUGUGGUGUAGCAGAACUCGGUCUGCUGUCAAGCUUGUGUGUUCCCCCAUUAUAUUCUGUAUUUCCACCUCGAUGUCUUUCCAGUUUGGUUGGAUUCUGUCGCAGUCCCACCAGAUAUGUUUAAGAGUGCCGGUUCCGUUUUCGUGUUUGUGUUGUCCAUUAGGACUUCCCAUUGCCUUUUGAAUAGGUCCUUCCUUUCCCUCUCACCUGUUG
Non-coding RNA from Pelobates cultripes (western spadefoot toad), 222 nucleotides. The record is from the annotation of a GenBank genome assembly. NCBI's taxonomy places the organism in Eukaryota, Metazoa, Chordata, Amphibia, Anura, Pelobatidae.